RNAcentral lists this ribosomal RNA (253 nucleotides) under uncultured bacterium. RNAcentral's name for it is "partial 16S ribosomal RNA". It matches the Rfam family "Bacterial small subunit ribosomal RNA", at positions 524 to 776 of the family's 1533-position model. The record is from RNAcentral.
GACGUAGGGCGCGAGCGUUGUCCGGAUUUAUUGGGCGUAAAGAGCUCGUAGGCGGUUUGUCGCGUCUGCUGUGAAAUCCCGAGGCUCAACCUCGGGUCUGCAGUGGGUACGGGCAGACUGGAGUGCGGUAGGGGAGACUGGAAUUCCUGGUGUAGCGGUGAAAUGCGCAGAUAUCAGGAGGAACACCGGUGGCGAAGGCGGGUCUCUGGGCCGUAACUGACGCUGAGGAGCGAAAGCAUGGGGAGCGAACAGG